GACGAACGCUGGCGGCGUGCUUAACACAUGCAAGUCGAACGGAAAGGCCCUGCUUUUGUGGGGUGCUCGAGUGGCGAACGGGUGAGUAACACGUGAGUAACCUGCCCUUGACUUUGGGAUAACUUCAGGAAACUGGGGCUAAUACCGGAUAGGAGAUCCUGCUGCAUGGUGGGGGAUGGAAAGAUUCGGCUGUUGGGGAUGGAAGCGCGGCUUAUCCGCUUGUUGGUGGGGUAGUGGCUUACCAAGGCUUUGGCGGGUCGCCGGCCUGGGAGGGUGGCCGGCCACCUUGCUCCUGCGGUACGCCCCAGACUCCUACGUUCGGCAGCGGUGGGGAAUAUUGCGCAAUGGGCCGGCGCCUGUUGCAGCAACCCCGCGUGCGUAAUGACGUCUUUCGGGUUGUGAACCACUUUCGCCUGUGCCGAAGCCUGAGUGACGGUACUGGGUAAAGAAGCCCCGGCUAACUACGUG
Molecule: ribosomal RNA, 468 nt
Filed under: uncultured bacterium
Lineage: Bacteria
Description: partial 16S ribosomal RNA
Rfam family: Bacterial small subunit ribosomal RNA
Source: RNAcentral